GUGGACAAUGUGCUGACCCCAACGCUGUGUGUGACCAGAUCACCAGACGAUGUCAGUGUAAGACAGGAUUCUUCAACAAAAAUGGCAACUGUGUUGCUGAACUCCAGCCUGGCUCAUCUUGUUCCCCUGGUGAGCAGUGUGGUAGUAAUGCAGAGUGUGUCACAGGGAAAUGCACAUGUCUACCAGAGUUCUAUGUGGACACACUGACUGGGCAGUGCUUACCCAGAGGUAAGCUGUCCAAACCAUGUCUGCCUGAGAGGUAUAUCCCAAGAUGUGAUGACCCAAACACAGAGUGUAACCCUGGCAACGACACCUGUGUAUGUCAGAGAGAACACCACAUCAAGAACAACCGCUGUGUGCCAAAUAUUCCAACCAAAUCAAGCUGUGUGCGUAACUCUGAAGAUGUGUGUGCUGACCAGAAUGCAGAGUGUACUGCUGCUGGGAUAUGU
This is a long non-coding RNA of Lingula anatina, 449 nucleotides long. Lineage: Eukaryota; Metazoa; Brachiopoda; Lingulata; Lingulida; Lingulidae. The record is from RefSeq and is a predicted model, not a curated record.